Long non-coding RNA from Patella vulgata (common limpet), 761 nucleotides. RefSeq lists it as uncharacterized. NCBI's taxonomy places the organism in Eukaryota, Metazoa, Mollusca, Gastropoda, Patellidae. The transcript is spliced from 3 exons. The record is from RefSeq and is a predicted model, not a curated record.
UACCGGAUUGGACGAGUCGGUUAACUGAAGUAUAUAAGGCGUAAAUUUCUAGCUGAACAUCAAUCAAGCGAGUUGUUUCACAACGAAUAAGGUUUGUGAAUUGGAUAGCUGAAUCACAAGAAACACAAAUGUUCUGGCCUUUUUGGUUUCUUGUUCUAGGGUUGACCCGUGUACAAAAGAUAACUGGAUUACAGUGGGAAGGAGUAGUUAAAGGAGCCAUACCAUCUACAGCCGUCCCAAUCAGGCCUAAUGGCGCUUCCCUCUUUUACUUCUGCGAGGUGGUAGUGUCCUCGAAGGGGGGACAAAGAAUACCUGGUACACUGAGACCAACAGACAAUUCCUGUAAAUACGAAGUAGACGAUGCUGUUAAGAGCUCAACAGAGUUCAAUGUUCUCGUUAACCCUAGUGGAGCCUCUUUAAAGUGGGAAUACGGUAAUCCGAGGAAGGGUGUCCCCGCUGGUGCUGUGAAAUGUCAUGAAGGCGAUAACUGUUACUUAGGACAAAGUAUUUACGGUGAUGGAAUAUGUGCGGAACUUCCCGGGAAAAUAUUUACUGAUCAGAUUCAAAUGAUUAUGACUAACGAUGAAAAGAUUUUUAAAUGCCCUUUUAAAAUGUUCUUAGUGGAAACUGUAUGAAAUUAAACUGAUUUCAUUUGGUAUAAAACAUUUGGUAUAAAACAUUUGGUAUAAAACAUUGUGUUCUGCACGACGAAGUAAAACAUAAUUGUGUAAUGAAUAUUAUAAAAUAUGUUUAAUCAUUUA